UACGUAGGGUGCAAGCGUUGUCCGGAAUUAUUGGGCGUAAAGAGCUUGUAGGCGGUUUGUCGCGUCUGCUGUGAAAUUUCGGGGCUCAACCCCGAACUUGCAGUGGGUACGGGCAGACUAGAGUGUGGUAGGGGAGACUGGAAUUCCUGGUGUAGCGGUGAAAUGCGCAGAUAUCAGGAGGAACACCGAUGGCGAAGGCAGGUCUCUGGGCCAUAACUAACGCUGAGAAGCGAAAGCAUGGGGAGCGAACAGG
RNAcentral lists this ribosomal RNA (253 nucleotides) under uncultured bacterium. RNAcentral describes it as "partial 16S ribosomal RNA". It matches the Rfam family "Bacterial small subunit ribosomal RNA", at positions 524 to 776 of the family's 1533-position model. The record is from RNAcentral.